RNAcentral lists this ribosomal RNA (253 nucleotides) under uncultured bacterium. Its description in RNAcentral is "partial 16S ribosomal RNA". It matches the Rfam family "Bacterial small subunit ribosomal RNA", at positions 524 to 776 of the family's 1533-position model. The record is from RNAcentral.
UACGUAGGUGGCAAGCGUUGUCCGGAUUUACUGGGCGUAAAGGGCGUGCAGGCGGUCUGUUAAGUCUAGGGUGAAAGCUCCCGGCUCAACUGGGAGAGGUCCUUGGAUACUGGCGGACUUGAGGGAGGCAGAGGAAAGUGGAAUUCCCGGUGUAGUGGUGAUAUGCGUAGAUAUCGGGAGGAACACCAGUGGCGAAGGCGGCUUUCUGGGCCUUACCUGACGCUGAGGUGCGAAAGCGUGGGGAGCAAACAGG